This 103-nucleotide microRNA precursor is filed under the name Marmota monax (woodchuck). The record is from RNAcentral. Lineage: Eukaryota; Metazoa; Chordata; Mammalia; Rodentia; Sciuridae.
AGAGGGAUAACUGGGUCAAAUGGUUGCUCCAUUCUCAGAUUUCUAAGGUAUCUCCAUACUGCUUUCCAUAUCGGCUGCACCAAUUUGCAGUUCCACCAGCAAU